RNAcentral lists this ribosomal RNA (405 nucleotides) under Acanthamoeba sp. 1 VJM-2013. Its description in RNAcentral is "SSU rRNA". It matches the Rfam family "Eukaryotic small subunit ribosomal RNA", at positions 762 to 1098 of the family's 1831-position model. The record is from RNAcentral. Lineage: Eukaryota; Discosea; Longamoebia; Acanthamoebidae.
GGAACGAGAGUUGUUCAAGCGGGCAGAUAUUUUUCCUGCCACCGAAUACAUUAGCAUGGGAUAAUGGAAUAGGACCCUGACCUCCUAUUUUCAGUUGGUUUUGUUUAUACAGCGAGGUUCAUCAGGGUAAUGAUUAAUAGGGAUAGUUGGGGGCAUUAAUAUUUAAUUGUCAGAGGUGAAAUUCUUGGAUUUAUGAAAGAUUAACUUCUGCGAAAGCGUUUGCCAAGGAUGUUUUCAUUAAUCAAGAACGAAAGUUAGGGGAUCGAAGACGAUCAGAUACCGUCGUAGUCUUAACCAUAAACGAUGCCGACCAGCGAUUAGGAGACGUUGAAUACAAAACACCGCUGUUAGUCCUUUCGGGGAUUAAUAGUUGGUGAAUGACUCCCCUAGAGGCUUUGGGGAGAA